UGGGGAAUAUUGGACAAUGGGGGCAACCCUGAUCCAGCCAUGCCGCGUGAGUGAUGAAGGCCUUAGGGUUGUAAAGCUCUUUUACCUGGGAAGAUAAUGACGGUACCCUAAGAAUAAGGUCCGGCUAACUUCGUG
RNAcentral lists this ribosomal RNA (135 nucleotides) under uncultured Beijerinckia sp. RNAcentral describes it as "partial 16S ribosomal RNA". It matches the Rfam family "Bacterial small subunit ribosomal RNA", at positions 355 to 507 of the family's 1533-position model. The record is from RNAcentral. Lineage: Bacteria; Pseudomonadati; Pseudomonadota; Alphaproteobacteria; Hyphomicrobiales; Beijerinckiaceae.